Molecule: unclassified non-coding RNA, 230 nt
Filed under: Capsulospora sp. JP5139
Lineage: Eukaryota; Fungi; Ascomycota; Sordariomycetes; Amphisphaeriales; Amphisphaeriaceae
Description: ITS1
Source: RNAcentral
AGUCUAAAGUCGUAACUAAGGUCUCCGUUGGUGAACCAGCGGAGGGAUCAUUAUAGAGGUUAUAAAAACUCCAAAACCCAUGUGAACAUACCUAUUGUUGCCUCGGCAGGUCGUGCUACCCUGUAGGAACUUACCCUGUAAGAACCUACCCGGUAGUACAUACCAGGCCUGCCCAAGGACCCAAAACUCUUGUUAUAAUUGGAACUCUGAGUAACUAUAUAAUAAGUUAA